This is an RNA transcript of Trachemys scripta elegans, 2683 nucleotides long. It is a transcript of the gene named abhydrolase domain containing 18, with no coding region annotated. The record is from RefSeq and is a predicted model, not a curated record. The transcript has 14 exons. Lineage: Eukaryota; Metazoa; Chordata; Testudines; Emydidae.
GUGGUAGUACCGCCCCAGUAGCGACCUUCAGCCCUUCCCCGCCUCACACCCCUGAGAGCGGUUGUCCCUUCCCCCAUGUGCGGCAGCUCUAGCUGGAGGUGGCAGCGGCAGCAGCGGGGAGCCCCCUGCCCGGUUCAGUGAGUGACCCCGGGAAAGUGUUGGGCGGUGGGAGUCUCUGGCCGGUCUCAGGGCCGGGGGCUCUCCGGCCGCAGGCGGGGACUUGCUGCCCGACGCGCCUCCAUGCGGGGCCUGGGUCGGGACGGCGUCGCGAUCGUUUGGCGCUGGGGACGCGAUUCGAAGGAGAAGGGCCGUUUCCGCCUGCGAUGUUAGCUUGCUACUAAUGGGUGUGAGUAAACUGGAUAUUUUGUACAGACGGCUUCUACUCACUAAACUUUUCAUUCGAGGAUGGGGAAGACCAGAAGAUCUGAAAAGAAUAUUUGAAUUCAGAAAGAUUAUUGGAAACCGGGAAAAAUGCCAGAAGCUGGUUUCAAGAGAUUAUCCAGUGUUCAUUGACAAGGUUGAGGAGCAAUCAGACUGUAAAAUACUCGAUGGGCACUUCAUUUCCCCUUUGAUUCACUACAUUCCCAAUAUCCUGCCAACUGAAUCCAUCAUAGCAAGGUUUCAAUUCAUAAUACCCAAGAGAUGGAACAGCAAAUACAAACCUGUGUGCAUUCAUCUAGCAGGCACUGGAGAUCAUUACUACUGGAGAAGACGCACACUAAUGGCCCGUCCAAUGAUCAAAGAGGCUUGCAUGGCUUCUCUAUUGUUAGAAAACCCUUACUAUGGCUGCAGAAAACCUAAGGACCAAAUUGAGGAAAGAAGAUCAAGUUUAAAAAAUGUCUCGGACCUGUUUGUGAUGGGAGGAGCUCUUGUUUUAGAAUCAGCAGCGCUUUUGCACUGGCUAGAGAGAGAGGGCUAUGGACCUCUAGGGAUGACUGGAAUAUCCAUGGGAGGACAUAUGGCUUCACUAGCAGUGACAAACUGGCCUAAACCAUUGCCAUUGGUUCCUUGUCUUUCCUGGUCCACAGCUUCUGGUGUCUUUACCACGGGUGUGUUGAGCAAAGCAGUGAACUGGAGAGAGCUAGAGAAACAGUACUAUACACAAACUGUUUAUGAAGAAGAAAUCAUUCAAAUGCUUGAAUAUUGUGGAACAGACUCUUUCAAGAUGGGACAAGACUUUGUUAAAAAUUCCCCCAACAGUGUGGACAGUCUGAACAACCUAGCUCUGACUUCCAGAAUGUUGAAUCUGGAUACCACAAGCAAAAUUCUGUCUACAGAAGCCAUUCACUGCCUUAGCACUAGUAAAAGUACUCUAAGUGCCUCAUCAGAAAGACUCUUACUGCAAGAUGCUCCUAAAAUGCAGUGUAUAAAUCAAACAUUUUCAACCAGCAGCAGUAGCAAUAAGAACUUCACCAGUCUGCAGGAGCACCUGAUAAGUGAAGAAAGGAAAAGGGACACUUUACAGAGAGAAUCACUAAGGUUCAUGAAAGGAGUUAUGGAUGAAUGUACCCAUGUAGCUAAUUUCUCAGUUCCAGUUGACCCAAGUCUAAUCAUAGUUGUUCAAGCCAAGGAGGAUGCGUAUGUUCCACGAACUGGAGUGCGCAGCCUUCAAGAUAUAUGGCCAGGAUGUGAAAUCAGGUAUCUGGGUGGAGGUCAUGUCAGUGCCUACCUCUUCAAACAAGGACUCUUCAGCAUGGCCAUGUGGACACAAUCCUCUCCUAAUAUCAUCUUUGGUUUAAUCACAUGAGAUCAGAUGGGCUGGAGAGUUGUUCCCAUCAGUCUAAAUAAUUUCUGAAAUGCGACACUGGAGAGCAUUAGACUCUGUACUCGCAGUACAUAUAUAAUUGUUUAGAAUGACUGGCAUUCUGCAUAUGAAUUUAAAGGCAAGCCAUUUAUGAUGCAUUUGAGCGCUUUCUCCAAAAAUAUGCUGUUUAAUGGUCUUCAUUAUUAAUUUGCUCAAUGUGGUCUUGUGUGAGCUUUCCAUGUCUGGAAUUGCAUAUUGGCGUGCUUUGGAAAGCCAGCCAAUUACACCAAUACUGAAUGGAUGGACACCAACACUGAAUGUCAUACCCAGCAAUUAUCAAUAUUGGCAAAGCAUUAAUAAUAGUAGUUUCAGUUCAACCAAAUGCCCAUCUAAGACAUAUCUGCAUUAAUCUGAACCAUGAAAAUUUUGGUAACAUUUGUUAAUGUAUGAGGGAUUCUAUGUACUUCAUAUCAUCUACUAUUUUAUCACUUCACAUAUGACAUUCUGUUCUGAAGUUUGCAUAUCCGCUGUAAAAAGACCAAUAGAAUGCCAAUAGAACUGUUCAAAUCUAUCCUUUAGAAUUUUAACACUUCUAUAUUUAAUGCAUUGCUAUUUUUUCCAGUUACCAAUUUUUUCCCCGCCCACACUGUUUUGCCCGCUUUUUCCUGUGCUGUUCCUAAAGAUGUUUUUUAAAAAGAACUCCUCCUGCAAGCCCAACUUCAUGUGUUCCAUUGCCAUUGUUUGCGAUUGUCCCAAAUUCAUUGUCGUGAUUUAAAACUGCAGGAAUAAAUAAGAGAAGAUGGACAGCAAUGGGAAUAGAAAAGUCUCUCUCAAAAAAGUGUUAUCUAGGAAAAAAGUAAAUAAAGGCAUAUUUUAUUGACAUGUUUGAAAGCUUUCUCUAUUAUGGAAGUCCUUUUUUAUUUAAAAAAAAAAAAAAAA